RNAcentral lists this ribosomal RNA (497 nucleotides) under uncultured bacterium. Its description in RNAcentral is "partial 16S ribosomal RNA". It matches the Rfam family "Bacterial small subunit ribosomal RNA", at positions 28 to 507 of the family's 1533-position model. The record is from RNAcentral.
GAUGAACGCUGGCGGCGUGCCUAAUACAUGCAAGUCGAGCGAACAGACGAGGAUCUUGCUCCUCUGACGUUAGCGGCGGACGGGUGAGUAACACGUGGAUAACCUACCUAUAAGACUUGGAUAACUUCGGGAAACCGGAGCUAAUACCGGAUAAUAUAUUGAACCGCAUGGUUCAAUAGUGAAAGACGGUUUUGAUGUCACUUAUACAUAGAUCCGCGCCGCAUUAGCUAGUUGGUAAGGUAACGGCUUACCAAGGCAACGAUGCGUAGCCGACCUGAGAGGGUGAUCGGCCACACUGGAACUGAGACACGGUCCAGACUCCUAAGGGAGGCAGCAGUAGGGAAUCUUCCGCAAUGGGCGAAAGCUUGACGGAGCAACGCCGCGUGAGUGAUGAAGGUCGUCGGAUCGUAGAACUCUGUUAUUAGGGAAGAACAAAUGUGUAAGUAACUAUGCACGUCUUGACGGUACCUAAUCAGAAAGCCCCGGCUAACUACGUG